CCCUAACUGCCUCAAGAGUUACAAAGAUGAAUGAAACACAAUCUCUGGUCUCAAAAUCCCUGGAAAAUUAGAAAUUAUCCCAGAGCCCAGACAGAGUAAGUUCCCUUCCAGUAUCCUAAGUUUAAGAUCCUCCAAAGUAUUCUGAAAUCUUUACAGCCUCUUGGUUCCCUUCUUCCUUUCUUCCUGCCUCUAAGUUCUAGUUCUUUGUUAUGACACACAUUCCAGAACUUUCACAGGCCAUACUCCUGUAGUCUGCUUAGGUCUGAUCAACCUGAGCCACACGAUUCCUCUGUGACUCUCUGCAUCCUUGUUUACAAGGGCCUCCCCAACAUCCAAGUUCAUACUGCUCAGAAACAGUGAGCUUGGGGUGUUUGUUUUAUCUUGAUUGCCCUCUGACAAAGAAAUCCAGAUGACACAGAACCCACUGAGGACAAUACCUGGAACAUGGCAGUCUUGGAAAUAGUUUUGGCUGUUAUCCUGACUCUACUGGGAUUUGCCAUUCUCGCUAUUUUGUUAACAAGAUGGACACGGCGCAAGCGAAAUGAAAUUGAUAUCUCAAGAUACAGUUCUGAACAAAGUGCUGGUCUGUUGGACUAUGAGGAUGACAGAGAUUUUUCUUCUCCAAGAGCUAAACGAGGAAGAGGAUUCCAGAAUUUAUACUCAACAGAAAGUGACAUUUCAUAUGAUGAUCGAGAGGGAUACAACAGAAAUUAUAUGCCAUCAACCAGCUCCCUCGGUAAGUUCUUUGUGACUUUCUUUCAAUUCUACUCUCAUCUGGUUUGCAAGUCCUGAAGUUCCUGUAUUUGAUUUUUUCUCUUAAAGAAGUUUUAAAAAUAAAGGAUACAAAUAAUUAACACUUGUAAACCCACACCCUAAAUUUGAUAACUGGUAUUAUUUUUGUCUUAAUUCUUAACUGGCAGGUAGAAAUCUUAUGUCUCCAUUUAUAGAUCUAUUCUACUCUCUCCUCUUCCCAAAGAGUUAUAAGUGUAUUAUAAAUCUUUUAUUUAUUUUCACAUAUUUAUAUAAUCUCUCUGUAACACUUAACACAUAGUAUUGUUUUGCAUACAUUUUUUAAAAUUUUACUAAAAUGGCAUCAUUCUAAAACCAUCAUUACAACCUGCUUUUUCCCCAAAAAACAUGGUAAUACUGAAAUAUAUAGAAAUCCAAAUUAUGCAUUUUAAUCAUUGAAUGAUAUUCUAGCUUACAAAUAUACAUUAUUUUUCUUUUUUCCCCUACUGGUACAUUCUUAACAUUUCCAAUUUCUUCUGUCACAAAUAAUACUAUAAAAUGUCCUUCUGUAAGGGGAAAAUAGUUUAUUCAAGGUACCUACCCUGAAGUGAGAUGAAUGAAUCACACUGUGUAUGAACAUUCACGUAAGUUAGGGAUAUUUUAAGUUUACUAUUGUGUGAGUUCCAUGGUAGUUACACAUAGCAAAAUGUGCUAUGUGUGAAGCAUAGCAAAAUGUAUAAAAGUUUCCCAUUUCCCUGCAUCAAUUCAAACCUAGAUUUUGUCAUACUUUUACACUACUGCCACUUUGAUAAGUUAAAUUACUUUUUUACAGUCAUAGAUGUAUAUAAAUAUUUGGGCAUCUUUCAGGCUUAGCAUUGCUGGCUUCAUCCUGUGCCUUUCUUCUUUUACUUUGGCCCAAAGACAAUCCUUUAGUGGUUCUUUAAGCCCCAUGUGUGUGUAAAAAUUUUUCUAAGCCUUUGUAUGACUGAAAAUAGUUUUUCUUCACCCUCAGCCUUAAACAAGAGUUAAGCUGAGUAAAUAAUUAACAAUUAUUUUUUCUCACACUUUGAAGAUUUAUUCCAUUGUCUUCUGGCAUUUACUAUUGCUGAUAAGAAUAUGCUACUAUUUUGAUGACUGUACCUAAGUAAAUAUGGUUUUAAGAUUUUAUCCUUACCGUCUGCAUUUUAAUUUAUACAUAUAUUAAUUAAAUAUAUAUAUAUAAGCCACUGGCUUCCCCAGUGGCUCAGCAGCAAAGCAUUCACCUGCAGUGUAGGAGCUGCAUCUAUCUAACAAACUAUAGUCUCUUCUUCUAAAAUAACUGUCAAAUAUGUGUAAAGACUCUCCUCACAGCUUCAGGUCUGGUAAUGUCUCUUUCAUAUUCCUCAUUUGCAUUAGUUAACUCCAGCUCCUAUAAUAGGUAAAUCUUAGAAUUUCAGUGAUUCUAAUCAUAAAAUCCCAUUAUUCUGUAAUAUCAAAUAUGCCUGGUUCAUGUUUAGCUCUUCUGUUAGCAAUGACUUAAGCAUUCAAGUUCAUUCUAUAUCUCCACCAUCUUUACCUUAUGGCUUCUAAGUUCAUCUUGCCUACCUUGAGUGAGCAGAGGAGAAAAGCUUUUAGAUCAUGAGUGGGAGACUUUUAUGGAUAAGCCUGGAUGUUGUCACACAUCACUUCCAAAUAAUUGGCUAGAAUUCAAUCAUAUGUCUAAACCUAAUGGCAAGGGAAUCUGGGGGCAAUAGUCUAACCAUGCUGUAUUAAUUUUCUAUUGCUAUUAUAACAAAAUGCCACAAAUUUAAUGGCUUCAAACAAAACAAAUU
Molecule: long non-coding RNA, 2540 nt
Filed under: Capra hircus (goat)
Lineage: Eukaryota; Metazoa; Chordata; Mammalia; Artiodactyla; Bovidae
Description: lncRNA (ENSCHIG00000007695.1)
Source: RNAcentral